CAGCAACUCCGGUCUGAAGCGCGGGGCUGGUCCACGCCCUGCGGAAGCUCGACGGAUUCGACGACGACACCGAACGCCGAUUGCAGCGCCCUGACGCGUGCCCCAGUUCAACUCUUAUUUUAUCGACCUCGAGAUCUCAGCGAGAUAAAACCACAACUAUACGGGUACAAGUUCUACAGCUCACCUCCUCUUCGUCUUCCAGCAAGGAGCAGCAGUCAGCAGGAAGCCGAGGAAAAAACCAAGCUGCUUGGAUCUGCAGAGACUCAGGUCGGCCAGAUUGCUCAUUUCGUAGCCAGCAAAUGAAGUUUCCACUCUGAAAACAGGAUCUGUAGAUACUCUUUGUAUUCAGACAUCAAGCUUCAGUCAGUUAUCGACGCUAUUAGUGACUGCAUAAAUGGGAUCCCCAUCACAUGCUGCUUCAGAGCCACAGACAGAAAUGGAGGAGCAGAGUGAAACCGCCACAGAGGUGAGGCAACAAUAGGAGUUGCUACAGGGAGCAACUUCCAACCUCCUCUUGAACUAGCCAUUCCUCUAAUAGAUGCUGCGCUGUCCGUGUCACUUCAAUUUCCACUACGCUUUAACCCCAAGAAGCCGCUUCGUUUCAUACUAGCCAUUGUUGCAGCCACAGUGGCAGCAGUCAUAUGGAGAAGGCCGUUACACCUGAUCUUUGUGUAUUGUGGGCUGAAACUGCCACCAGUACCAGCAUGGAUGCGAGCUAUUAUCAGCUACAUAAACUCACGUUUACCUCCACGCUUGCACCCAUUUAGAUGGCUAUGCAAAACCCUGAUCAAGAACAUAAAACUCUGUGUCAGCUCAGGCACACUUAUAUGGACAGUUAUCUUCAUCAUUUGCUUACCAAAAGGUGAAAGAAACAAGCUUGCAGGUAAGUGUAUCCACAACCUUUCUACUUCAGAUGGUUACUCCUUUACUGCUGACAUUGGCCCACAUUAUCGAAGCUGCAUGGUUCACAUUUGAUCCUGCUUAUUUAAUCGUUUCGUGGCAGUACCUUACUAGCUGGUGCAUGACCCAUUAAGUUGUAAUCUAGCUUCUAUUGGCAGUCGGCCUCCUUUUGAUGGAUAAAUCCAAUCCAUCUAAGAAACCAGCAAUGGAAUUGCUUCAGGUACUCCAGCAACUGCAUGAGCACUACCUGAUGAUGGCAGCAUCUUUUCAAGGUCUACAAUGCUGCUAUCAGACAUGCUCAUCAGCACCACCUAAGCACCGUAGUAGCUGUUUGAUUCACCAGCCCUCUUGGUGUCCAGCUGCAACUAAGUUGUAUUGUAUGCAAGCUUAAUUUGUACUAUAGCCAAUGUUGCUGCUCGGUACUUACCAACAGUCACUUUUGUUGGCCCCUAUCAAUGAACUUAUUAUCGUUCUGCUA
This is a long non-coding RNA of Panicum virgatum (switchgrass), 1378 nucleotides long. RefSeq lists it as uncharacterized. The transcript is spliced from 5 exons. The record is from RefSeq and is a predicted model, not a curated record. Lineage: Eukaryota; Viridiplantae; Streptophyta; Magnoliopsida; Poales; Poaceae.